CCUACGGGGGGCAGCAGCAAGGAAUUUUGCGCAAUGGGCGAAAGCUGACGCAGCAACGCCGCGUGGGGGAUGAAGGCCUUCGGGUUGUAAACCCCUUUUGCGAGGGAAGCGGUACCUCGCGAAUAAGCCACGGCUAACUACGUGCCAGCAGCCGCGGUAAUACGUAGGUGGCAAGCGUUGUCCGGAUUUACUGGGCGUAAAGCGCGCGCAGGCGGACUGAUCAGUCUGGGGUGAAAUCUCACGGCUCAACUGUGAGCGGUCCCUGGAUACUGUCAGCCUUGAGGACCUAGAGGAGAGCGGAAUUCCCGGUGUAGUGGUGGAAUGCGUAGAUAUCGGGAAGAACACCAGUGGCAAAGCGGCUCUCUGGGGGUUUCUGACGCUGAGGCGCGAAAGGUGGGGAGCGAACCGGAUUAGAUACCCCAGUAGUC
Molecule: ribosomal RNA, 428 nt
Filed under: uncultured bacterium
Lineage: Bacteria
Description: partial 16S ribosomal RNA
Rfam family: Bacterial small subunit ribosomal RNA
Source: RNAcentral